AAAGUCGUAACAAGGUUUCCGUAGGUGAACCUGCGGAAGGAUCAUUACUGAGUAUUUGUCUUUUAAAGACAUCUCUCUAUCCAUAAACUCUUUUUUCUAAAAAGACAUGAUUUACACAAUUAGUCUGAAUGAUUAUAUAAAAAUCUUCAAAACUUUCAACAACGGAUCUCUUGGUUCUC
This 179-nucleotide unclassified non-coding RNA is filed under the name Ascomycota sp. RNAcentral's name for it is "partial contains small subunit ribosomal RNA, internal transcribed spacer 1, and 5.8S ribosomal RNA". The stretch from base 1 to 47 matches the Rfam family "Eukaryotic small subunit ribosomal RNA", at positions 1785 to 1831 of the family's 1831-position model. The record is from RNAcentral. Lineage: Eukaryota; Fungi; Ascomycota.